AUUCGCGUGUCAUCGUUGUAUUGUGAUCCUGUGAACUGCCCGUGUGUGGAGCUCUGACUGUCUGGAUAAGAGUUUUCUCUUGUUCCUGUCAGGACUUUGCCGGGUCUUUCUUCACUUGGCUCUUAUGAUGCGUCUGUAUAUGGCGAUCAGCAAAUCUUAUAACUUCCAGCAGUGGAUCUCUUGGCUCAAGUGCUGAGGAAGGGUGCAGCAAAGUGUGAUAAGCAUUGUGAUGUGCGAGAUCCUGUGAACCAUUAGACUCCCGAUCGCAUUCUGUACUUGCGGAAUCUUCUGCAAGUAACCCAGCACCAGGGUCAUGGUUACUUCCUCCUUCACUCAGGGUUCUCUCUGUGUGUUGGGGCAUUGCUCUGGGCAAGGGGGUGGUGCAAUAUCCUUCUCCUUGACCAUGAUUGUGACCUACACUGGAUGUUAAGGGCAAGGUCUGUAUUCCAUCUCUCUCUAUGAGUUAUAGAGACAGAUUCUACCCUUUAUCCUGGUGUUAUAGCAGGGGUUGAAUUCCUCUUCUCUAAAUGUCAUGGUGCUUGGCAAGCAAACCCGCUGAAUUUAAGCAUAUAAGUAGGCGGAGGAAAAGAAACCGAAUGGGAAUCUCUUAGUAAUGGCGAAUGAAAAGAGAUGUGCUUAGCGUCAAAAUCAGGUUUUCCUGACUUGUAGGCUGUAGGGGUUAUGCCAACUUGGGUGCAGGUGCAAGUCUCUUGGAAAGGAGCACCAGUGAGGGUCAGGGUCCCGCCUGUCAUCUGUCAUCCCUUGUAGACGGUUUGCCCAUUGAGAGUCGUGUUCUUCUGGAAUAGAGCGCCAAACGGGUGGUACUCUUUGCCUAAGGAGCAUUACGUGCUUGAGACCAAUAGUGAACAAGUACCAUGAGGGAAGGAUGAAAAGGACUUUGGAAAGAGGGUUAAGAGGGCAUGAAGCUGCUGGAAGGGAAGUGGAUUGGACUUUUGUUUGUGGUAAGAUUGCAGGGUGCAGCUCUCACUUGUGAGGACCUGCGCUCUGUGUCUCUUGCUACUCGGUUGGGCUCUGUGUGGCGCUCAGAAUCUUAGCGUGGAUUGGCUUGACGGUUGCGGCCUGAUCCAUAUCCUUGCCUACUCUUGGUGCAACAUAAUGCUGAUAAA
RNAcentral lists this ribosomal RNA (1127 nucleotides) under Amphidinium tomasii. Its description in RNAcentral is "eukaryotic LSU rRNA". The stretch from base 529 to 1127 matches the Rfam family "Eukaryotic large subunit ribosomal RNA", at positions 1 to 520 of the family's 3401-position model. Lineage: Eukaryota; Dinophyceae; Amphidiniales; Amphidiniaceae. The record is from RNAcentral.